This 496-nucleotide ribosomal RNA is filed under the name uncultured bacterium. Its description in RNAcentral is "partial 16S ribosomal RNA". It matches the Rfam family "Bacterial small subunit ribosomal RNA", at positions 29 to 507 of the family's 1533-position model. The record is from RNAcentral.
AUGAACGCUGGCGGCGUGCCUAAUACAUGCAAGUCGAGCGAACAGAUGAGGAGCUUGCUCCUCUGACGUUAGCGGCGGACGGGUGAGUAACACGUGGAUAACCUAGCUAUAAGACUGGGAUAACUUCGGGAAACCGGAGCUAAUACCGGAUAAUAUAUUGAACCGCACGGUUCAAUAGUGAAAGACGGUUUUGCUGUCACUUAUAGAUGGAUCCGCGCCGCAUUAGCUAGUUGGUAAGGUAACGGCUUACCAAGGCGACGAUGCGUAGCCGACCUGAGAGGGUGAUCGGCCACACUGGAACUGAGACACGGUCCAGACUCCUACGGGAGGCAGCAGUAGGGAAUCUUCCGCAAUGGGCGAAAGCCUGACGGAGCAACGCCGCGUGAGUGAUGAAGGUCUUCGGAUCGUAAAACUCUGUUAUUAGGGAAGAACAAAUGUGUAAGUAACUAUGCACGUCUUGACGGUACCUAAUCAGAAAGCCACGGCUAACUACGUG